AUUGAACGCUGGCGGCAGGCCUAACACAUGCAAGUCGAGCGAGCGGCGGACGGGUGAGUAAUGUCUGGGAAAAUGCCUGAUGGAGGGGGAAAAAUACUGGAAACGGUAGCUAAUACCGCAUACCAUCAGAUGUGCCCAGAUGGGAUUAGCUAGUAGGUGGGGGAAAGGCUCACCUAGGCGACGCUCCCUCGCUGGUCUGAGAGGAUGACCCGCCCCACUGGAACUGAGACACGGUCCAGACUCCUACGGUAGGCAGCAGUGGGGAAUAUUGCACAAUGGGCGCAAGCCUGAUGCAGCCAUGCCGCGUGUGUGAAGAAGGCCUUCGGGUUGUAAAGCACUUUCAGCGGGGAGGCGUUACCCGCAGAAGAAGCACCGGCUAACUCCGUGCCAGCAGCCGCGGUAAUUC
This 406-nucleotide ribosomal RNA is filed under the name uncultured bacterium. Its description in RNAcentral is "partial 16S ribosomal RNA". It matches the Rfam family "Bacterial small subunit ribosomal RNA", at positions 30 to 526 of the family's 1533-position model. The record is from RNAcentral.